Molecule: non-coding RNA, 619 nt
Organism: Prunus avium (sweet cherry)
Lineage: Eukaryota; Viridiplantae; Streptophyta; Magnoliopsida; Rosales; Rosaceae
Source: RefSeq, a predicted model, not a curated record
UUCCCCUCCAAUUUGAGGCUUGUCUCAGUCAAAAUUACGAAACUUAGGUUCAUUUUAAUUUGGAUCAACUACAUAGAAGCCCCCACACUUUGGUAACAUUUUUAUUAGUUAGAUAAACAAUGGUAACAUUUUUACGGAUGCUGAGUUAUGAUUCUCCUCUGAAAAGACGUGCUAACAAGAGGCUGUUGGCUAUGGAAGAGUAGUUUUACACAAUACCUUGUUGAAGUUCAUUAGCUUUGUUCUUGAACUGGAUUCUGUACUUUUGCAGUUUGUAAUUGUCUCUUUAUCCGGCUGGGGUCUACUCAUCUUUGGGGGUUACAAGUUCUUCACUGGAGGGAAAGGCAAGAAGGAAGAGAAACUGCGGAAGCAUCGCACUGAGGUUUGGAGUUUUAGAUAUUCCCAGAACUUGUUUGAAAUAACGAGUUUGCUUGGAUAUAAUGUCCUCAAAUUUCAUUUUCUUUGUCAGCAACUGAUUUUUGAUCAGUCUAUGGAGAUUGAUACAUUGAAAAAAUAUCGAGGUUAAUGGCUUUGUUGGGAGUUUAUGCCCUGUCCAAUUAUGUCUUUUUUGUAGUUACUUCUGUGAUUUGAUGCAUUAACCUUUCAUGUGUCAAUAAAAUAA